Pyramidobacter piscolens W5455 is the source of this 102-nucleotide non-coding RNA. The record is from Rfam. Lineage: Bacteria; Thermotogati; Synergistota; Synergistia; Synergistales; Dethiosulfovibrionaceae.
AGCAGAGUAAAAACCGAUGCGUCAAGUGCCGGCUGAACGGGGAGUUGACAGCUGGACGAAGAGCCUCCGGGCUUGCGGUGUCGGGUUUUGCAUCCCGCUGCU